UGGGGAAUAUUGGACAAUGGGCGCAAGCCUGAUCCAGCCAUGCCGCGUGUGUGAAGAAGGCCUUUUGGUUGUAAAGCACUUUAAGCGAGGAGGAGGCUACUGAGAUUAAUACUCUUGGAUAGUGGACGUUACUCGCAGAAUAAGCACCGGCUAACUCUGUGCCAGCAGCCGCGGUAAUACAGAGGGUGCGAGCGUUAAUCGGAUUCACUGGGCGUAAAGCGUGCGUAGGCGGCUUCUUAAGUCGGAUGUGAAAUCCCUGAGCUUAACUUAGGAAUUGCAUUCGAUACUGGGAAGCUAGAGUAUGGGAGAGGAUGGUAGAAUUCCAGGUGUAGCGGUGAAAUGCGUAGAGAUCUGGAGGAAUACCGAUGGCGAAGGCAGCCAUCUGGCCUAAUACUGACGCUGAGGUACGAAAGCAUGGGGAGCAAACAGG
Molecule: ribosomal RNA, 430 nt
Filed under: Acidobacteriota bacterium
Lineage: Bacteria; Pseudomonadati; Acidobacteriota
Description: Acidobacteria bacterium partial 16S ribosomal RNA
Rfam family: Bacterial small subunit ribosomal RNA
Source: RNAcentral